ACCCUCUGGUUUCUUUUCCCAUGGGACCUCUUAGUGUGAGUAAAGGAGAAAGAGCACAGUGAAGUAAGCUUCAGAGCACUCACAGCGGUCAUGUGAGAUUGAUUCAAACAGGU
RNAcentral lists this small nucleolar RNA (113 nucleotides) under Meriones unguiculatus (Mongolian gerbil). Its description in RNAcentral is "Small nucleolar RNA SNORA61 (ENSMUGG00000005058.1)". The record is from RNAcentral. Lineage: Eukaryota; Metazoa; Chordata; Mammalia; Rodentia; Muridae.